RNAcentral lists this long non-coding RNA (200 nucleotides) under Sorghum bicolor (sorghum). RNAcentral's name for it is "long non-coding RNA (SBIC_LNC016391)". Lineage: Eukaryota; Viridiplantae; Streptophyta; Magnoliopsida; Poales; Poaceae. The record is from RNAcentral.
GCCUAGCGUACAUCGACGGGGCGACGCCAGCGGCUUGGUUCGCUCUUGCCGCAGCGGACGCAUCAUCCCUUCUCAUCGCGAGUUAACUCCGUGAAUGCUCGUGAGGCCGUGACUCAACGGACAAGGAGGAGGGGCAAAAUGGGAAGAAAAAUAAUGCAUGGCAAAAAAAAAAAUUAGAUCGAAAUCCUACUCAGGGCAUA